RNAcentral lists this long non-coding RNA (281 nucleotides) under Olea europaea subsp. europaea. Lineage: Eukaryota; Viridiplantae; Streptophyta; Magnoliopsida; Lamiales; Oleaceae. The record is from RNAcentral.
CUCCUUCAAAAGAUGCUAUUAAGAAAUCUAUUCUUCUUUCAGUACUUUCCUAUGUAUCAUCUUUAUUAUAUAAAAAGAAUAAUAUCAUUGAGUCUGACCAAAUUAAUAAAUCUUUUUUAAUAUCUAUUUUACAAUUUAAAUCUAACUUUGUUCCUCCAUGAUUAAUUGGUUUAUCAUAAUUAUCAUUUAAUUCAAAUCUAUCUUUAUAUUUAUUUCCUUUAGAUGGUUGCCUAUCUUUUACUUUAUCAUAGAUUUGUCUAUAUGAUUUAUUAUAUAUGAGU